This 236-nucleotide long non-coding RNA is filed under the name Lathyrus oleraceus (garden pea). RNAcentral describes it as "Pisum sativum (pea) long non-coding RNA (PSAT_LNC037106)". The record is from RNAcentral. Lineage: Eukaryota; Viridiplantae; Streptophyta; Magnoliopsida; Fabales; Fabaceae.
UGCCUCACAGCUCUUAUCCCUGGCCAGGGAGAGCUUCAGACAAAGAAGUGUGGGUUCAGAAAGGGGGAACCCUUCUACACUUAUGACACUGACUCAACUGUACAACUGUACAAGGAUCUUGGGUUACUAUCCACAAUGCAUCAACACCAGUUGUGUGAGCAAAGGGAUGACUCAACAAGAAUAGCAGGAGAUGGAUUGCACAUCUCUUGUAUCUGCCAAUUGCCUUAACAAAGGUC